ACAACCUGCCCUUAGGUUGGGUAUAAACCCGGGAAACUGGGUAUAAUACCCGAUAGGUCUCGAUUGCUGGAAUGCAUCGAGAUUUAAAGCUCCGGCGCCUAAGGAUGGGUCUGCGACCUAUCAGGUAGUAGUGGGUGUAGCGUACCUACUAGCCUACGACGGGUACGGGUUGUGAGAGCAAGAGCCCGGAGAUGGAUUCUGAGACACGAAUCCAGGCCCUACGGGGUGCAGCAGGCGCGAAAACUUCACAAUGCUGGCAACAGCGAUAAGGGAACCUCGAGUGCCAGGUUACAAAUCUGGCUGUCGAGAUGCCUAAAAAGCAUUUCAUAGCAAGGGCCGGGCAAGACCGGUGCCAGCCGCCGCGGUAACACCGGCGGCUCGAGUGGUAACCGUUAUUAUUGGGUCUAAAGGGUCUGUAGCCGGCCGGAUAAGUCUCUUGAGAAAUCUGGCAGCUUAACUGUCAGGCUUUCAGGAGAUACUGUCUGGCUCGAGGCCGGGAGAGGUGAGAGGUACUUCAGGGGUAGGGGUGAAAUCUUGUAAUCCUUGAAGGACCACCAGUGGCGAAGGCGUCUCACCAGAACGGACCUGACGGCAAGGGACGAAAGCUAGGGGCACGAACCGGAUUAGAUACCCGGGUAGUCCUAGCCGUAAACGAUACUCGCUAGGUGUCGGCCACGGUGCGACCGUUGUCGGUGCCGUAGGGAAGCCGUGAAGCGAGCCACCUGGGAAGUACGGCCGCAAGGCUGAAACUUAAAGGAAUUGGCGGGGGAGCACCACAACGGGUGGAGCUUGCGGUUUAAUUGGAUUCAACGCCGGAAAUCUUACCGGGACCGACAGCAAUAUGAAGGCCAGGCUGAAGACUUUGCCGGAUUAGCUGAGAGGUGGUGCAUGGCCGUCGUCAGUUCGUACUGUGAAGCAUCCUGUUAAGUCAGGCAACGAGCGAGACCCACGCCCACAGUUGCCAGCGUACUCUCUGGAGUGACGGGUACACUGUGGGGACCGCCGCUGCUAAAGCGGAGGAAGGAAUGGGCAACGGUAGGUCAGUAUGCCCCGAAUAUCCCGGGCUACACGCGAGCUACAAUGGUUGGUACAAUGGGUAUCUACCCCGAAAGGGGACGGGAAUCUCCUAAAACCAAUCUUAGUUCGGAUUGAGGGCUGCAACUCGCCCUCAUGAAGCUGGAAUCCGUAGUAAUCGCGUUUCAACAGAACGCGGUGAAUACGUCCCUG
RNAcentral lists this ribosomal RNA (1227 nucleotides) under uncultured Methanosaeta sp. RNAcentral describes it as "bacterial SSU rRNA". It matches the Rfam family "Archaeal small subunit ribosomal RNA", at positions 104 to 1332 of the family's 1478-position model. Lineage: Archaea; Methanobacteriati; Methanobacteriota; Methanomicrobia; Methanotrichales; Methanotrichaceae. The record is from RNAcentral.